Molecule: ribosomal RNA, 357 nt
Filed under: Oyamia lugubris
Lineage: Eukaryota; Metazoa; Arthropoda; Insecta; Plecoptera; Perlidae
Description: partial 16S ribosomal RNA
Rfam family: Archaeal large subunit ribosomal RNA (bases 1-193)
Source: RNAcentral
GUCCUCUUGAGUUUUAAUAAUUUGAGGUCUGACCUGCCCACUGAAGAUUUUAAAGGGCCGCGGUAUUUUGACCGUGCAAAGGUAGCAUAAUCAUUAGUCUUUUAAUUGAAGGCUGGAAUGAAUGGUUGGACGAGGCACUGACUGUCUCAUUAUAAAUGGGAUUAGAAUUUAACUUUUGAGUGAAAAGGCUUAAAUGAAUUUAAAGGACGAGAAGACCCUAUAGAUCUUUAUGUUAAUAGAUUUGUAAUAAAUUUAGUAGAUUUAAUUUGUUUCAAAGUUAUUGGUAUUUUAUUGGGGUGAUAGGAAGAUAAAAAAAACUCUUUUUAUAAGGUGACCAAUGAUUUUUGAAUUUUUGAU